Gadus morhua (Atlantic cod) is the source of this 407-nucleotide long non-coding RNA. RefSeq lists it as uncharacterized. NCBI's taxonomy places the organism in Eukaryota, Metazoa, Chordata, Actinopteri, Gadiformes, Gadidae. The record is from RefSeq and is a predicted model, not a curated record. The transcript has 5 exons.
CCCACAGGGGAUCCUAAUAUCGGGAGGAAGGCCUUAAACGAUUCGACAGGCUUGUGUCCAAAAAUAGCUUUCAGGAAACACAAUUUAAUGUUCCACAAGCUGUUUGAAGAUAUCCCCGAGACGGAGACGCUGACAGCAACCUUCACCUGCUACCUGCAGAAAGAGUUGAUCUUACCAUGGAAGGGUGUUUGUGUCCGAGGACCAUAUCUGUUUCCUACUCCUCUGUGCUUCUGAAACACAUUAAGGUGGUGAUUGCUGCAUCUAGGGUUUGUCAUGUGAAGAAACACAAGGCCCCCGUGCCCAUGCUUUCCAUUCACACCUUUGAUGGCGCCAAGUACAACUUGAUGUACGUAAAACACAGCAAGACCUGCUAUGAGCUCCUGGAAUCGGUGUGUCUGCACAUGGAG